AGUCAAGUAAUUAAGUGCAUGUGGUGGAUGCCUUGGCAGUCAGAGGCGAUGAAAGACGUGAUAGCCUGCGAAAAGCUCCGGGGAGGCGGCAAAUAUCCUUUGAUCCGGAGAUGUCUGAAUGGGGGAACCCACCUACUUUAAGGUAGGUAUUGCAACAUGAAUACAUAGUGUUGCAAGGCGAACGAGGGGAAGUGAAACAUCUCAGUACCCUUAGGAAAAGAAAUCAAUUGAGAUUCCCUCAGUAGCGGCGAGCGAACGGGGAUCAGCCCAUUAAGUUAUGUGUGUUUUAGUGGAACGCUCUGGGAAGUGCGAACGUAGAGGGUGAUAUUCCCGUACACGAAAGGGCACACAUAAUGAUGACGAGUAGGGCGAGGCACGUGAAACCUUGUCUGAAUAUGGGGGGACCAUCCUCCAAGGCUAAAUACUCCUGACUGACCGAUAGUGAACCAGUACCGUGAGGGAAAGGCGAAAAGAACCCCUGUGAGGGGAGUGAAAUAGAUCCUGAAACCGCAUGCAUACAAGCAGUGGGAGCACCUUCGUGGUGUGACUGCGUACCUUUUGUAUAAUGGGUCAGCGACUUAUAUUCAGUAGCGAGGUUAACCGUAUAGGGGAGCCGUAGAGAAAUCGAGUCUUAAUAGGGCGUUUAGUUGCUGGGUAUAGACCCGAAACCAGGCGAUCUAUCCAUGAGCAGGUUGAAGGUUGGGUAACACUAACUGGAGGACCGAACCCACUGUCGUUGAAAAGCCAGGGGAUGACUUGUGGAUAGGGGUGAAAGGCUAAUCAAGCCUGGUGAUAGCUGGUUCUCCCCGAAAGCUAUUUAGGUAGCGCCUCGGACGAAUACCAUAGGGGGUAGAGCACUGUUUCGGCUAGGGGGUCAUCCCGACUUACCAAACCGAUGCAAACUCCGAAUACCUAUGAGUACUAUCCGGGAGACAGACUGCGGGUGCUAACGUCCGUAGUCAAGAGGAAAACAAUCCAGACCGCCAGCUAAGGCCCCAAAAUCAUAGUUAAGUGGGAAACGAUGUGGGAAGGCAUAGACAGCUAGGAGGUUGGCUUAGAAGCAGCCACCCUUUAAAGAAAGCGUAAUAGCUCACUAGUCGAGUCGGCCUGCGCGGAAGAUGUAACGGGGCUAAAACUAUGUGCCGAAGCUGCGGAUGUAUACUUUGUAUACGUGGUAGGGGAGCGUUCUGUAAGCCGAUGAAGGUGUGUUGAGAAGCAUGCUGGAGGUAUCAGAAGUGCGAAUGCUGACGUGAGUAACGACAAAACGGGUGAAAAACCCGUUCGCCGAAAGACCAAGGGUUCCAGUCCAACGUUAAUCGGGGCUGGGUGAGUCGACCCCUAAGGCGAGGCCGAAAGGCGUAGUCGAUGGGAAAAUGGUUAAUAUUCCAUUACUUCUGUGUAAUGCGAUGAGAGGACGGAGAAGGCUAAAUCAGCCUGGCGUUGGUUGUCCAGGUGAAAGGAUGUAGGCAUGUAUCUUAGGCAAAUCCGGGGUACUCUAUGCUGAGAUCUGAUAGCAAGCUGUACUUGUACAGCGAAGUGGUUGAUGCCAUGCUUCCAGGAAAAGUCUCUAAGCUUCAGUUACACAGGAAUCGUACCCGAAACCGACACAGGUGGUCAGGUCGAGUAGACCAAGGCGCUUGAGAGAACUCUGCUGAAGGAACUAGGCAAAAUGGUACCGUAACUUCGGGAGAAGGUACGCUGUUGUUGGUGAUGGAACUGCUUCCUGAGCUGACGACAGCCGCAGAAACCAGGCCGCUGCAACUGUUUAUUAAAAACAUAGCACUCUGCAAACACGAAAGUGGACGUAUAGGGUGUGAUGCCUGCCCGGUGCUGGAAGGUUAAUUGAUGGGGUUAGCGUAAGCGAAGCUCUUGAUCGAAGCCCCAGUAAACGGCGGCCGUAACUAUAACGGUCCUAAGGUAGCGAAAUUCCUUGUCGGGUAAGUUCCGACCUGCACGAAUGGCAUAAUGAUGGCGGCGCUGUCUCCAGCAGAGGCUCAGUGAAAUCGAAAUCGCUGUGAAGAUGCAGUGUACCCGCGGCUAGACGGAAAGACCCCGUGAACCUUUACUGCAGCUUGACACUGAACUUUGACCUUACUUGUGUAGGAUAGGUGGGAGGCUUUGAAGCUGGAACGCUAGUUCCAGUGGAGCCGUCCUUGAAAUACCACCCUGGUAAUGUUGAGGUUCUAACUCUGUCCCGUGAUCCGGGACGAGGACCGUGUCUGGUGGGUAGUUUGACUGGGGCGGUCUCCUCCUAAAGAGUAACGGAGGAGUACGAAGGUGCGCUCAGCGUGGUCGGAAAUCACGCGUAGAGUAUAAAGGCAAAAGCGCGCUUAACUGCGAGACCCACAAGUCGAGCAGGUACGAAAGUAGGUCUUAGUGAUCCGGUGGUUCUGUAUGGAAGGGCCAUCGCUCAACGGAUAAAAGGUACUCUGGGGAUAACAGGCUGAUACCGCCCAAGAGUUCAUAUCGACGGCGGUGUUUGGCACCUCGAUGUCGGCUCAUCUCAUCCUGGGGCUGAAGCAGGUCCCAAGGGUAUGGCUGUUCGCCAUUUAAAGAGGUACGCGAGCUGGGUUUAGAACGUCGUGAGACAGUUCGGUCCCUAUCUACCGUGGGCGCUGGAAAUUUGAGAGGAUCUGCUCCUAGUACGAGAGGACCAGAGUGGACGAACCUCUGGUGUACCGGUUGUGACGCCAGUCGCAUCGCCGGGUAGCUAUGUUCGGAAGGGAUAACCGCUGAAAGCAUCUAAGCGGGAAGCCUACCUCAAGAUAAGAUUUCCCUAGGACUUUAUGUCCUCUAAAGAGCCGUUCGAGACUAGGACGUUGAUAGGUUGGAUGUGGAAGCAUAGUGAUAUGUGAAGCUGACCAAUACUAAUUGCUCGUGAGGCUUGACUAUACAACACCC
RNAcentral lists this ribosomal RNA (2901 nucleotides) under Acinetobacter baumannii MRSN 3527. RNAcentral describes it as "bacterial LSU rRNA". It matches the Rfam family "Bacterial large subunit ribosomal RNA". Lineage: Bacteria; Pseudomonadati; Pseudomonadota; Gammaproteobacteria; Moraxellales; Moraxellaceae. The record is from RNAcentral.